Long non-coding RNA from Alligator sinensis (Chinese alligator), 980 nucleotides. RefSeq lists it as uncharacterized. The record is from RefSeq and is a predicted model, not a curated record. The transcript has 4 exons. NCBI's taxonomy places the organism in Eukaryota, Metazoa, Chordata, Crocodylia, Alligatoridae.
CAGCAGCCAAGGGGGGAGGCACAGAAGGGAGAGGCCAGACUGCAGAAUUUUCUUUAAUUCCUGUUCCUCUCUGCUGCUUGCACUGGAUUGAGUUUUGUAUGCCAGGGGAAGGAUCCAGUCUAGAGUGAGAAGCUACAGUUCAGUCUGGUUCCUUGGAUAAUGGAGUUUGUAAAAGUGCCUCCUACUGGUGUUGUAAUGAAAGUUUGACACUUUAGACAAGAAAAAAGUGGUGGAGCAGAUGGAUGAAGAAGGCAUACUUCUCAAUGGCUGCAAAGGCAGACUAAGUAACCCCAGAUGUCUUGGAUCCCCUUGCCUUGACACCGGUUUCUUCUCUGCCGAGAUCCAUGCAGUUACCAAUGCGCAAAAGUUUCCUGACAUAAAACAAGUCAUGCACAGGCUUCUCCCACUGGAUCCAUCAUCUACCAUGAUAACCAAUCACCGAUAAAAGAAACAAGACUGAGAAACCUGCGCUCUGACCCUCCCUUUAACCACCACCUGUGGUGUUUGCCAAAGAGUUUGCAGCACAAGGAUUGGCCUUAACCAUCAACAGACUAAUUUACAACCCUUUACUUGACCCAUGAGGGUGACCAUCCUCAACUGUGAGGGAUUGCUGCUGACAGCAACUCAUUUCUGAGUAUUUGAUUUUGCAAUCUUCAUGUUCCUGUAGCAUGUUUUUUUGGUAAAAUAUAAAAUACAUAGAUGGGUGUAUGGUUUUUAUAUGCUUAAUAAAAAAUGCCCAGAACAGUUCCUAUGUAUCAUUUGCAGGGAAAUGUGUCUUUCUCAUGCUAUCAUUCAUUAUUUGUCCUACAUAAACUCAGGACAAUAUGUUUAAGGGUAAUGGGUCAUUUAGUUUCAUAUUAGACAGCACUUAAUAGCUAUGAAGAUGCAUUCUCUUUUAUUUAAUUAAGAUGAUGAAUUUUUAAUCCAUAUCCAUUCUCAUGUUUGCGAGUAUGUUGUAUGGAUUGCUGCUUCUUGAAAAA